GGCAGCAGAGACUCUGCUCUCCUCCUUUGGAUUAAUUCUGAUAUAAUAACUGUUGGUUUAUUUAUCGGUGCAGCAGCACAACAUUUUCCACAGAUAGUUUUCUUGCCCGUUGGCUUGUUUUAACCAGUUUUCUACCUUCGGCUGAUUCUACCAGCAGACACUGAAAGGACUCUGAUAGUUUGAGUGAAAGUAGCAGUUCCUCCUUAAGGUCAGAGAUUGCAGCAUCUGAGGGCCUCUUCAAAAGAAGACGUAGUUGAUGAAGGCGUUCUGGAGCAGGACCAGAAAGACCACGACCAAGCAGCCUUGAGAUCUUAGGCAGCGUCUCCCUCAGGUCCCUCUCUAUCUCCCCACACAUCCACCAACCACUGGAACACAUCUCCAAAGUUCUGCCGGGCCAGCUCAGCUUCCAUUCAGAAGAAGUUCCACCAGAUGAAGGAGCCUUUUGAGAGGCAGCUGGCAUCGUGAUUGGACUGUACUUUGGUCUGUUCCAAUCCAGCUUCAGCUCCAGAGACGGCAGGCGGGACGAGUCAACGGAGGCCGGGUGGACGAAGGCAUGCAGCUGAGUACAAUCCAGAAAACAACAGAGGAGGAGUGCAGCAGCCCAGAGCCAGAACAAACAGAGUAGCAUCGUAUGUCUCUUAGAAAACAUCAUAGUAUAGCCUUUGGUAUGAAAAAACACCAUCAUAUACAUCGUAUAUUGUACAAAUAAGUCAAAGGAAAGAGACAUACAUUGUAGAAUUGUAGUAAUUGUGGGCUGACUGAUUUACUGAUUAUCAGUAUUUUAUUUUUUACCGAUUUACAGUAAUAAAUCCAUUUAAAAAUGGCGCUACUUUGGCUCUGAACCUUAAUCUACCUGUGGUCGCUCUGUCUUCUGGAGGGAUUUGAUUGGUUAUACGUCA
Amphiprion ocellaris (clown anemonefish) is the source of this 899-nucleotide long non-coding RNA. The record is from Ensembl. Lineage: Eukaryota; Metazoa; Chordata; Actinopteri; Pomacentridae.